Long non-coding RNA from Heterocephalus glaber (naked mole-rat), 697 nucleotides. Lineage: Eukaryota; Metazoa; Chordata; Mammalia; Rodentia; Bathyergidae. The record is from Ensembl.
AGAGCAGAGACAGGCUACCCUACUCCCAUGCUUCUGGGGAUUUACACUUUUGCUGAUCAGCUGGACAAGCACCAACAGCUAUAAGAAAACCAAAGAAAGGGAAGCCAUGUCCUUUCCACUAUGAAGGCUUUCAAAGGAAAGGAAAUAGGACACUGGCUGGAAUUCAGCCACAAAGCUUGAAUCCACAUGGUGACACUUUGAGAGAUCUUCAAAGUUCCUGCCCUCGGGGAAGUAGAUUCUCUAAGCAAGUCAUCUGGCAGAAGAACCCACUGGCAAAAUCUACUGAAAGAGGAUAAUGUAAAAUGACAGCUGUAAUGUUUUUGCAAAAGUUCUGAAGACAGUGCUGAGCCAACAGGAUGCAUGACCACGUAUCUGGAGCUUCUGUUUCAAGGAUGAAAAUUACACAUAAACAUUUACUAUACUUAGACUAUUUCCCAAAAUCCCACUGAGAUGAUGAUACAUAAAAACUAAUAAUCCAUAAUAGUCCAUAAACAAGAAAGGGUGCCAAUAGCCAAUUAGAAAAUUUGAAAAAUUUAUGAAAGGUGAGAAAGCAGAUGGAAUACUGUUGAUGGACAAACCAGAGGAAACUGCAACUGAAACAAGCAUGGUGAGGGUUGCUCUGGCAAUUCGAACCAUGCUUCCCAGGGAUCCUUAAGGAAUAUGGAGCUAAAGAGGAUGGGAGUACAAGCAAUCAAGG